RNAcentral lists this unclassified non-coding RNA (329 nucleotides) under soil metagenome. RNAcentral's name for it is "partial contains 5.8S ribosomal RNA, internal transcribed spacer 2, and large subunit ribosomal RNA". The stretch from base 1 to 120 matches the Rfam family "5.8S ribosomal RNA", at positions 35 to 154 of the family's 154-position model. The record is from RNAcentral.
GAUGAAGAACGUAGUGAAAUGCGAUACGUAAUGUGAAUUGCAGAUUUUAGUGAAUCAUCGAAUCUUUGAACGCACAUUGCGCCCGCCAGUAUUCUGGCGGGCAUGCCUGUUCGAGCGUCAUUUCAACCAUCAAGCCUUCGCUUGUGUUGGGGCCCCGCGGCUGCCGCGGCCCCCUAAAUCCAGUGGCGGGCUCGUCGUCGUACCGAGCGCAGUAGACAUCCUCGCUCCGGGAACCCGACGGGUGCCGGCCGUGAAACCCCCCCCAUCAAGGUUGACCUCGGAUCAGGUAGGAAUACCCGCUGAACUUAAGCAUAUCAAUAAGCGGAGGA